Molecule: long non-coding RNA, 591 nt
Organism: Trichomycterus rosablanca
Lineage: Eukaryota; Metazoa; Chordata; Actinopteri; Siluriformes; Trichomycteridae
Exons: 5
Source: RefSeq, a predicted model, not a curated record
AACGUGAUCAGUAGUUUACUGAAAUUUUUCUUCAGGAGUCUCACUGAUCCGCUUUUCACUGACAAGAAAUACAGUGAGUUUAUCAGUGCCAACAGAGCCACAGAUUCAGUAGCGAGACUAAAUGCCCUGAAGAAUCUGGUCCUCGAGUUGCCAGCACAUCAUCUCGAAACUCUAAAGUUUCUUAUAGCUCAUCUUAAAACAGUGGCCCAGAACUCAGAGAAGAACAAGACCCACACUGGUUCGUACCUCUGAGGAAAACCUGGACAUCAUGCUGAGCCACAUGGCAGAUCAACAACAGAUCAUAGAGACUCUAAUCCAGGAGUAUGACCUCUUCUUCAGUGAAUCAAGUCCUCAACUCUAUACGUCAAUCAAUCUGCCCACCCAUCCUGAUCCAUCCAUCUAUUCAUUUAUCCAUCUGUCCACAUAACUACCCAGACUUCCAUUCACACAAUGGAUGAUCAAGAUCAAGAAUGCAGUUGAGACUCAGUACAUUCACCAGUGGCUCAACACCAUCAACCAGCAGCAACUGAAGAAUCAUCAAUACCAUCAAUCUAUAUCACUAUACAGUAUCUUCUAACAAAUAACAUCACC